AAACUUGUAAGUUAUCCAAACUCUUAAAUUUUUACUUUAAUAAUGAUUAAAAAUAAUCCAAGUUUA
Molecule: transfer RNA, 66 nt
Filed under: Aeolothrips indicus
Lineage: Eukaryota; Metazoa; Arthropoda; Insecta; Thysanoptera; Aeolothripidae
Description: tRNA-Lys
Source: RNAcentral